Molecule: ribosomal RNA, 586 nt
Filed under: alpha proteobacterium SK200b-18
Lineage: Bacteria; Pseudomonadati; Pseudomonadota; Alphaproteobacteria
Description: bacterial SSU rRNA
Rfam family: Bacterial small subunit ribosomal RNA
Source: RNAcentral
AAACGAUGAAUGCCAGCUGUUGGGGUGCUUGCACCGCAGUAGCGCAGCUAACGCUUUGAGCAUUCCGCCUGGGGAGUACGGUCGCAAGAUUAAAACUCAAAGGAAUUGACGGGGGCCCGCACAAGCGGUGGAGCAUGUGGUUUAUUCGAAGCAACGCGCAGAACCUUACCAUCCUUUGACAUGGCGUGUUACCCAGAGAGAUUUGGGGUCCACUUCGGUGGCGCGCACACAGGUGCGUGCAUGGCUGUCGUCAGCUCGCUGUCGUGAGAUGUUGGGUUAAGUCCCGCAACGAGCGCAACCCACGUCCUUAGUUGCCAUCAUUCAGUUGGGCACUCUAGGGAGACUGCCGGUGAUAAGCCGCGAGGAAGGUGUGGAUGACGUCAAGUCCUCAUGGCCCUUACGGGAUGGGCUACACACGUGCUACAAUGGCGGUGACAGUGGGACGCGAAGGAGCGAUCUGGAGCAAAUCCCCAAAAGCCGUCUCAGUUCGGAUUGCACUCUGCAACUCGAGUGCAUGAAGGCGGAAUCGCUAGUAAUCGUGGAUCAGCAUGCCACGGUGAAUACGUUCCCGGGCCUUGUACACACC